Molecule: long non-coding RNA, 1025 nt
Filed under: Sorghum bicolor (sorghum)
Lineage: Eukaryota; Viridiplantae; Streptophyta; Magnoliopsida; Poales; Poaceae
Description: long non-coding RNA (SBIC_LNC016189)
Source: RNAcentral
GAGGUUUUGCAGAUUUUCAAAUCAAAACUCAGAGAUUCCUUGUUUGAUUCUCUCAAAUCUCUCUUUUGUGGUAUUUCUGGAUCCUUACCAAGGCAGUGAUGGUAUAUGCCUUCUCUCAAUAUAUAUGGUAUUUGUGGUAUAAAGCAUAGUGACAUUGCCUUCUCUCUCACCCUACUCUAAUAAGGUUUUAAUAUGUGGAGCUCAUAGGUGGGAGAUAAAAUAUACAUACUUACAAGACAUUUAUUGCAUAGUCAAACCAUGGAUCCAAAGAAACAAACCAAUAAGUCAAAUCAAGAUGUGCAUGUGUGGCGAAUGAAUGGUGUAUGGUGAUAACAAUGGUGAAAGUCUAAUUCUACUUUUGCUCUUUGAGGGGAUACAUACCUUCCUUGCUUUUUGAAACUUUAUGAGGAGAAUGAGAUGCUCUAUGUUUUCUUUCUCUUUCCUCUCAGGUGGGUAUCUUGUACCCCUAAUUCUACUGUCGGACACUUGUCCAUUUUUACCUCUCGUCUCACUUUUUUUUCUUUUCUUUUCGAGGUUCCGGGCACUUGCCCCUUUUUAUUUCCUCAUAUCUCUCUUGUUUUUAGAGCACUCAUCUCUUGAGAUAAUAUAGCAAGUGGUAGUAACAAGAUAACUUGAGCAUUUAUUUCAUAGGGAAAACAGAAAUAUUUUUUUAGCCAUUCUCUCCUGUAUUAGAAGUAUAAUAUUUUUGGGUGGUUCUCGGGAUGGAAAUGGAUGGACAUAUGUGGAUGGUACUUCCGGAAUAGAAGUAGGAUGUGUGAGUGAACGUGCAAGUGAAUCUUGAUUUAACCACAUGACAAGCUCCUAAGGGUCUACACAGCUUGACCACACUCAAUGCUCAUAAGUAGUAAUGUAAAUGUGUGGCUCAAAGUCUAGCAAGCAUGUAUAUAUGGCUGUGGUAGGAAUUUAAACUCUCAUCAUACAGGAACUCAUCAAGUAAUAUUUUAAAGAUUUUUUAAAGAUAAAAUUCUCCAGAAUUCUAGCAUCUCUAGGAACAGAUAAACAGC